GAUGAACGCUAGCGAUAGGCUUAACACAUGCAAGUCGAGGGGCAGCACAAGGUAGCUUGCUAUCUGGGUGGCGACCGGCGCACGGGUGCGUAACGCGUAUCCAACUUGCCCUAUACAGGAGGAUAACCCGUCGAAAGACGGACUAAUACUGCGUAUGCUCACUACUUGGCAUCAAGUGGUGAGGAAAGAAAUUCGGUAUAGGAUAGGCAUGCGUCCCAUUAGCUUGUUGGUGAGGUAACGGCUCACCAAGGCAACGGUGGGUAGGGGAACGGAGGGGUGCAUCCCCGACAGGGGGACAGGGACACGGAACAGAGUCAUACGGGAGGAAGCAGUGAGGAAGAUAGGUAAAUGGGCGAGAGCCUGAUCCAGCCAAGUCGCGUGAAGGAUGACUGUCUUAUGGAUUGUAAACUUCUUUUAGACAGGAAUAUCAAGAGUCACGUGUGACUCACUGCAUGUACCGUAUGAAUAAGCAUCGGCUAACUCCGUG
This 487-nucleotide ribosomal RNA is filed under the name uncultured bacterium. RNAcentral describes it as "partial 16S ribosomal RNA". It matches the Rfam family "Bacterial small subunit ribosomal RNA", at positions 28 to 507 of the family's 1533-position model. The record is from RNAcentral.